AUGAACGCUGGCGGCGUGCCUAAUACAUGCAAGUCGAGCGAACGGACGAGAAGCUUGCUUUUCUGAUGUUAGCGGCGGACGGGUGAGUAACACGUGGAUAACCUACCUAUAAGACUGGGAUAACUUCGGGAAACCGGAGCUAAUACCGGAUAAUAUUUUGAACCGCAUGGUUCAAAAGUGAAAGACGGUCUUGCUGUCACUUAUAGAUGGAUCCGCGCUGCAUUAGCUAGUUGGUAAGGUAACGGCUUACCAAGGCAACAAUGCAUAGCCGACCUGAGAGGGUGAUCGGCCACACUGGAACUGAGACACGGUCCAGACUCCUACGGGAGGCAGCAGUAGGGAAUCUUCCGCAAUGGGCGAAAGCCUGACGGAGCAACGCCGCGUGAGUGAUGAAGGUCUUCGGAUCGUAAAACUCUGUUAUUAGGGAAGAACAUAUGUGUAAGUAACUGUGCACAUCUUGACGGUACCUAAUCAGAAAGCCACGGCUAACUACGUG
RNAcentral lists this ribosomal RNA (496 nucleotides) under uncultured bacterium. Its description in RNAcentral is "partial 16S ribosomal RNA". It matches the Rfam family "Bacterial small subunit ribosomal RNA", at positions 29 to 507 of the family's 1533-position model. The record is from RNAcentral.